RNAcentral lists this ribosomal RNA (157 nucleotides) under uncultured bacterium. RNAcentral describes it as "partial 16S ribosomal RNA". The record is from RNAcentral.
CACGGAGUUAGCCGGAGCUUACAAACGGUACCGUCAUCAUAGGGGGUAUUGUCCCCUACUUAUUCUUCCCGUUCUUGCGAAGUUUACAUCCUGAGGGAUUUCAUCCUUCACGCGGCGUUGCUGGGUCAGGCUUUCGCCCAUUGCCCAAAAUUCCCGA